This 440-nucleotide ribosomal RNA is filed under the name uncultured bacterium. RNAcentral describes it as "partial 16S ribosomal RNA". It matches the Rfam family "Bacterial small subunit ribosomal RNA", at positions 338 to 795 of the family's 1533-position model. The record is from RNAcentral.
CCUACGGGCGGCAGCAGUAGGGAAUAUUGCUCAAUGGGGAAAACCCUGACGCAGCAACGCCGCGUGGAGGAUGAAGGUUUUCGGAUUGUAAACUCCUUUUGUUAGAGAAGAUAAUGACGGUAUCUAACGAAUAAGCACCGGCUAACUCCGUGCCAGCAGCCGCGGUAAUACGGAGGGUGCAAGCGUUACUCGGAAUCACUGGGCGUAAAGAGAUCGUAGGCGGUAUAGCAAGUCAGAUGUUAAAUGCUAUGGCUCAACCAUAGAACUGCAUUUGAUACUUUUAUGCUAGAGUACGGGAGAGGUAGGUGGAAUUCUGGGUGUAGUGGUAAAAUGCGUAGAGAUCAAGAGGAAUACUCAUUGCGAAGGCGACCUGCUGGAACAUAAUUGACGCUGAGGCGCGAAAGCGUGGGGAGCAAACAGGAUUAGAUACCCGGGUAGUC